CGCAGGGCGACCAAAUAAGGAAUAAAUCUUCGGGUUAUGACACUUCUGACACUUUUUCAUCUCGAGUUAUCCGUGUUAACUGCACAGGCCAGCAGUGGUGGUGAAAACCUUCAAUUAUUCCUUUGUAUGAAAACGAUGAAACACAAAAGUUUGUAGUGACACCAACUGGACAAAAAGAGAAGCUGAGAGACUUCAGGCUGUUUCAUGAGUAUUGGGACAAAACAAGCUGCUUGGACUGCGAACGUUAUUUUCUGUAUCCAGAAACUGUUGUGGAGCUGGAUCUGUUAAACAUAUUAAGAGGUAUUCACCUACGAAUUGAUACUUCUCAGGCAAUAUGGUACGAUGUAGCCAGAGUUUGGAUAUAAGAAAUUUGUAUUAAACAAAUUAAAUCUUUUUUAUUGACAAGAAAACUCUCUCGUGAUCCACUCUGUAGACUUCAUCACUACUGAUGCAACUCUCUGGUGAAUUGUAAGUAACUAUGUACAACGAGAACUGUGUGUGUGUGUAUUCUAGCUAUUGGUUGUUUCAGCUGUCUGAUGAAAACCUACCAAUCACAUUUAGUAAUACUGAUACGAUCGUUGCAUAAUAACAGCCCUUUGUAACAGUCAUCAGUGACACAGAAAAUCUUACAGUGUUGACAGAAUAACCAUUUUUUCCCCCGACAUCACACAUGUAGCCAUUUUCUGAUGUUGCUACUAAUAGGACCCAUUUAAAAUGAGUGAAUAUAUCUAAAAGUUCAGGGGCCGUAUGUAUAAAAGUAAAAUUUUAGUCUUAAGUGUGUCAAAAUGAAUGACAAAUUUUACUCUUAUUCCUAGACUUAAGAAUAAGUAUGAUUCAUAAAGGUUCCUAAGUGUCAAGACUAGGUCUCAGCUCCUAAACCUAGUUAGGAGAAACAAGAUGGCAGCAAAGAGACACAGGCUUUCCAAUGAAGAUAUAAUGCAUUGGAGUUAUAUGAUGACAUGGAGUUGAUAAAACGAUACAUUUGAUUGACAAUUCUUUUCAUAACUGACCUAAUAAGAUAUACUUAGAAUAAUAGAAUAAUAAGAAUAAUACUUAAACAAUCAUUAAUAAGUUUAGUGCAUUUUAAUGACUUUGAACUUUUUACAACUUUAAAUGUAGUAACCUCUCCCACUCUACAAAUCAAUGCUCUGACUGUAGAAAUGAAAUAGUAAUUACCUUUUUUGGUAACUGGAAAAAUGCAGCAGUGCACCAGGUGAUGACUUGGACCCAUCAGUCCACAGUAAUCAGGCUCUUAAAUAGUACUUUUGCUAAACUUACCACACCAAACUAUUUUAAAAUAUUUUAAAUAUGAGGCAAGAAUAAAACACUAAACUAAGCAAAGGUAUUUAUCUGACAAAAUUUUGGCAAAAAAGGGGGAAAACUACAGCUAAAGGUUUCAGAAAAACAAAAAAGCUCAGAAAAAAGCAAACAUUGACUACAACAUAACCACUUUUUAAUAUUGCAUUGGUCCACUUGUUCUUGCAUGUGCUCAUAAUUUCUUUGUAUGACAGCCUGGCCAAAAAUAAUUUGAAAUAAUUUGAAAUUUAUUGGGUAACAAAUGAACACUUGUCAUUUACAGAUACAAUAACAACAAGUUACAUUGCAUUCAUUGCUUAUAUUUUGUUAAUUAAAUGUGUACAAUUAUACAUUUUUUAAUAAUGUAUUAUUUUUACAUUCCAAACUGUGUAAAACAUGAAUGAAUCAGGAAGAGGUCAAGGCCCAGCAAACCAUGAGCACCAUAAAUCUAAAAGCAUGUAAAAAAAAAAAAAAGGCAGUAAAUAUAUCUAUGAUAUUUUUAAAAUGAAACUAUACUGUAUGCAGUUUUUCUUAUACUAUAUAACUUGUAGAACAUCUACGCAAUUAUGUUGAAAUGAUCAGUAUUUUAAUUAUUGUUUUUCCUUGUGAGGUCUUGGAAUAAACUUCAGUGUGAUGGGAACCUUCGGCUGAAAAAUAACAU
This is a long non-coding RNA of Ctenopharyngodon idella (grass carp), 1957 nucleotides long. RefSeq lists it as uncharacterized. Lineage: Eukaryota; Metazoa; Chordata; Actinopteri; Cypriniformes; Xenocyprididae. The transcript is spliced from 2 exons. The record is from RefSeq and is a predicted model, not a curated record.